Molecule: ribosomal RNA, 253 nt
Filed under: uncultured bacterium
Lineage: Bacteria
Description: partial 16S ribosomal RNA
Rfam family: Bacterial small subunit ribosomal RNA
Source: RNAcentral
GACAGAGGGUGCAAACGUUGUUCGGAAUUACUGGGCAUAAAGCGCACGUAGGUGGUCCGCUAAGUCGCGUGUGAAAUCCCCCGGCUCAACCGGGGAAAUGCGCGUGAUACUGGCGGGCUUGAGAUCGGGAGGGGUGAAUGGAACUCCAGGUGGAGCGGUGAAAUGCGUAGAUAUCUGGAGGAACACCGGUGGCGAAAGCGGUUCACUGGCCCGACACUGACACUGAGGCGCGAAAGCUAGGGUAGCAAACGGG